RNAcentral lists this ribosomal RNA (488 nucleotides) under uncultured bacterium. RNAcentral's name for it is "partial 16S ribosomal RNA". It matches the Rfam family "Bacterial small subunit ribosomal RNA", at positions 30 to 507 of the family's 1533-position model. The record is from RNAcentral.
UGAACGCUGGCGGCAGGCCUAACACAUGCAAGUCGAACGGUAACAGGAAGAAGCUUGCUUCUUUGCUGACGAGUGGCGGACGGGUGAGUAAUGUCUGGGAAACUGCCUGAUGGAGGGGGAUAACUACUGGAAACGGUAGCUAAUACCGCAUAAUGUCGCAAGACCAAAGAGGGGGACCUUCGGGCCUCUUGCCAUCGGAUGUGCCCAGAUGGGAUUAGCUAGUAGGUGGGGUAACGGCUCACCUAGGCGACGAUCCCUAGCUGGUCUGAGAGGAUGACCAGCCACACUGGAACUGAGACACGGUCCAGACUCCUACGGGAGGCAGCAGUGGGGAAUAUUGCACAAUGGGCGCAAGCCUGAUGCAGCUAUGCCGCGUGUAUGAAGAAGGCCUUCGGGUUGUAAAGUACUUUCAGCGGGGAGGAAGGGAGUAAAGUUAAUACCUUUGCUCAUUGACGUUACCCGCAGAAGAAGCACCGGCUAACUCCGUG